This 382-nucleotide ribosomal RNA is filed under the name uncultured eukaryote. RNAcentral describes it as "partial 18S ribosomal RNA". It matches the Rfam family "Eukaryotic small subunit ribosomal RNA", at positions 592 to 976 of the family's 1831-position model. The record is from RNAcentral.
CAAUAGCGUAUAUUAAAGUUGUUGCAGUUAAAAAGCUCGUAGUUGGAUUUCUGGUGCGAUGGAUUAUGUCUAGGUCGAAAGAUCUUGUUCAUGGUUCGUUUUGCCCUUCUUGUCAGGAACCCGCUGAGAUUCGCGUCUUGUCGGUGGAAUGGCAUCGUUUACUGUGAAAAAAUUAGAGUGUUCAAAGCAGGCAUCGCCGUUGAAUACAUUAGCAUGGAAUAAUAAGAUAAGACUUUGGUGGUCUAUUUUGUUGGUUUGCACGCCAAAGUAAUGAUUAAUAGGGAUAGUUGGGGGUAUUCGUAUUCUAUUGCUAGAGGUGAAAUUCUUAAAUUUAUGGAAGACGAACUACUGCGAAAGCAUUUACCAAGGAUGUUUUCAUUAA